RNAcentral lists this ribosomal RNA (604 nucleotides) under uncultured eukaryote. Its description in RNAcentral is "SSU rRNA". It matches the Rfam family "Eukaryotic small subunit ribosomal RNA", at positions 621 to 1226 of the family's 1831-position model. The record is from RNAcentral.
AAAAAGCUCGUAGUUGGAUUUCUGGUGGGAGCGAUCGGUCUGGGGCUUAGCGCGAGUACUUGCAUCGUCUCCGGCCAUCCUUGGGGAGAGUCUGUCUGGCAUUAAGUUGUCGGGCAGAGGAUCCUCAUCGUUUACUGUGAAAAAAUUAGAGUGUUCAAAGCAGGCUUAUGCCGUUGAAUAUAUUAGCAUGGAAUAAUAAGAUAGGACUUUGGUACUAUUUUGUUGGUUUGCGCACCAAAGUAAUGAUUAAUAGGGACAGUUGGGGGUAUUCGUAUUCCGUUGUCAAAGGUGAAAUUCUUGGAUUUACGGAAAACAAACUACUGCAAAAGCAUUUACCAAGGAUGUUUUCAUUAAUCAAAAACGAAAGUUAGGGGAUCGAAAAUGAUCAAAUACCAUCGUAUUCUUAACCAUAAACUAUGCCGACUCGGGAUUGGCGGGCGUUUCUUUUUUGACCCCGUCAGCACCGUAUGUGAAAACAAAGUCUUUGGGUUCCGGGGGGAGUAUGGUCGCAAGGCUGAAACUUAAAGAAAUUGACGGAAGGGCACCACCAGAAGUGGAACCUGCGGCUUAUUUUGACUCAACACGGGAAAACUUACCAGGUCCA